This 253-nucleotide ribosomal RNA is filed under the name uncultured bacterium. RNAcentral describes it as "partial 16S ribosomal RNA". It matches the Rfam family "Bacterial small subunit ribosomal RNA", at positions 524 to 776 of the family's 1533-position model. The record is from RNAcentral.
UACGUAGGGAGCAAGCGUUGUCCGGAAUCAUUGGGCGUAAAGCGCGCGUAGGCGGCCCUGUAAGUCCGUUGUGAAAGUCAAAGGCUCAACCUUUGAAAGCCGAUGGAUACUGCAGGGCUAGAGUCCGGAAGAGGCGAGUGGAAUUCCUGGUGUAGCGGUGGAAUGCGCAGAUAUCAGGAGGAACGCCAAUAGCGAAGGCAGCUCGCUGGGACGGUACUGACGCUAAGGCGCGAAAGCGUGGGGAGCGAACAGG